AGUGGUCAAACAAUUAUCUAUUUGUUACACACAAAGGAGAAGAAAUAUGGCAUCAAUUCUUAAGUUUGUUUAUAUUAUGAUCAUAUAUCUUUCUGUACUUCUUGUUGUCAUUGAAGGCUACCGUAUGCUAUUUUUCUCAUCCCCUCAAAUUUUAUUCUUUAUUUUGUAUACAAUUUUUCAUCCCUUUUCAUUGACUUUAUGUAUUUUUUUUUGGCUUAUAUUAUAGCAUUUCAAGAAUGUAAAGUAGACGCAGAUUGCCCAACUGUUUGUACCUUACCAGGCUGUCCAGAUAUUUGUUCCUUUCCUGAUGUUCCGACAUGCAUUGAUAAUAAUUGUUUUUGUACUUAACAGUAAGUUGAAACAACAAUUUGUACUUAUAUGAAUUUUUUGCACCAUUAGAUUUUUCUCUUUAACAUUCAAAUUUCUUGGACAGGUCGAGAAUAAAAAUAUCAUUGCAGAAUUAUAAAUGAACUGCAAUAAAUAAUGAUAAUGUGAUUACUGAUUAUAUAAAACCAUGUUGCCUUGUGUGGCAAGGGAGGUGUGAGGGUUUGUUUUCCUUGUAUCUCCAAGUGGACACCUUGUUCUCUUGUUUGUGCUUGUGAGUUGUGACCAAUAAAUUGUUUUCUUUUAAAAAUAUAUAUUAAAUAAAGAUAAUAUUAUUAUUGCCAUCCUUAAAUGUAAUUCAACAUUGACUAACAUGUCUGCUUCUAGCAUUCUAUACUUAUCCUUAGAAGUAGCCAAGAUGCAAAGACAUGACCAUGCUUCUUGAUUAUGGGCAGUAUGUUGGAUAACCAUUUGAUAUAUCUUGAUGUUUGGAUAAAAACCUCUUGUGAAGGCUUUCUACAUCAACUUUCAUAUGAGGCAUCAAUAAAUGAUUAAAUUUUCUUGCAGGUUGUUUAUGUGGAUCAUAUCAUUCCUUGAUUGGUAAUCUUUGUUACACUAAUUCUUUACUCAAUCCGAGCAUUUCAUGGUACCUCCAUGAAAAACAAUCUUUGUAAUACUCAACUAAACCCACUAAUUGAUUCCUUUCUACCUCAGCCACUAAUUUUAACCAUUCAUGGUCCUAGAUUAACUUCAACUAGUGGAUCUUGUGCUUAAAAGCUUAGCAAUCUCAUAAGGACUGAGGAGCUAUAGCUUCUUAUAGUAUUCAAGGAGAGAACUUGUUUCCUUGAAAAUAAAAUAAAUCAUUUGCAAAAUUUUAAAGUAAAAAAAGGGUUUGAGAAAACAAUUGAAAAGACAUAGAAAUUCUCAAAGGUAAAGUGUUGUUUAACCAAUGGUUCAAUUGUAACAAAUCUUUGCUAUGAUAUACAAGACUAUAGCUUUCUAUGACUUCCUGAUAACCUGGUGGCCACUAGGAGAUAUUUCAUCUUAAGCAUGUGAAGACGUCCUCUCGGAGUACACUCACAUAAACUUAACACGCAACAUUUCUAGGUUAGGUCAUCAACAAUUCAAACCAAAGUAAUACUAUGCUGAGCCUUUUGCCUGUGACAAGAGUCCUAGUUAGAUCUCAGCACUUUCAGGCUCUUCCAAUAUCUAGUCCUCGUGCAAAUUAGUCUCUCUUGUUACCAUCACCUUUCGGUUCAUAGGGACUUAACUCAUAUCAAACAAACAUUUUUCAUUCUCAUACCCUAUCGGUGUCACGAAACUAUAACAUCAAAAGAAAAAAUAGAUUAAGUUUCACUUUUAAAGAUUUUGAGUUAAAACAUUUUGUUUGAAAGAAGCACGAAGUUGUAUCUUUAUAAAUCUUAAGCAAAAACUAUCAUAACCUCAUCAUGUCUUAACCAUAAGAACGGGUUUAUCUCAUGAUGAACUUAACUACAAAGAUGAAGGUGAACUGCAACAUAAAUGAAAACAUGAAAAGCUAAAUUGAUAUAGAUAUAAAAUAGAGUUAGUAACAUAUUGCAAUCCAAGAAGGGAAGAGGUGAGCUUGAAGCAUCACCCAAAUAAUCUUAACUCUAAAUCACUAAGAACUAACACUCAUGCUCAUCUAUGGAGAAGAUGAGAUAAGUCAGAACUCUAGUACUGCUAACCCUAGCUAGAAUUGGCCUCUCAAUUCACAAGUGUAAAAUUCAGGACCCAUUGGCACUAACAUGUGAUUUUCCUUUUAUAGUACAAGGCUAGCCACUACAAGUUGUACCCUUUGAUCAUUUCCCCUAUUAAUUGUCCUUGUCUUAUCAUUUCACCAUCAUGCAUAUUAUUUAUUCAUUCUGCUGCCAAUCAUUUGGUGCCAAUCCAUAUAACUUACUCAUUAAACAAUGAUAAUAAGGGUACCAUGAGUUCGUACAAUAGUACGACUCGACUGUUGAUCUGGUAUGCUACAUUUUUCUAUAUCUUCAAUGAUGCAUCUACGAUUCCAAGUUGUGGCUUCUCAUAUCUUCAGUGUCAUUCUUCACCCUGUUUUAUCAAACAUCCAAAACAAGCAUAACUAGUUCAAAAUGAUCAAACUACACUAAAAAAUAAUUAAAACAUAAAAAACUAAAUAGUCACUGAUUAAAUGCAUUCACUCAAUUUCUCGUUCAUUUUGGAGGAUAAUUGCAACGUGAUAACCUACAAAUUUGCUGGUUAUCAAUCAUCUAUACCAGAUUUCAAGCACAAGCAUGGUGAACUCUCUUCCUCUCCACCCUCUCCACACCCCCUAACACCCCACCAUCACCAUCCUCAACACGACCUGAUCUCCUCCUCUCUAUUCUUUUCUCCUUCCUCAUCUUCCUCUUUCUUACACAUUAUUCAACAAAAAAUUAUACCACAAAGAACCAAAUAUCAACCAUUCCCUUUCCCAGAGGCCACCCUUCACCCCUUAUCCCCAUCUAUAACUCAAUCAAUUCAAUUGAAGAAGAACAAAAAUAAGAUUGAACGAAGGUUGUCUCCAUUUUAUACCCUGCAACUGAACAUUCAUUCUAAUAUGCCAUGUUUUAAACUGAAUGGAGAGUGAAGUGAUAAUCACGGAAUACAACCUUGAACCCAGAGAACUAUCAUAUCCUUCCAUGUGGAUUGUGGGUAGUUAAAACUAAGGCUUUUAUGAAGCUUUAUUUUAAAUAUAUAUAUCGUAAUCAUAAUAAAACUAAAAUUGAAGUUGUGGUGUUUGUUGAUGUGGGAACUGGGAAGAGAAGAAAAAAUAUAUCAAAGCAUUUUUUCACACCGUUUUGGAUUCUCAGGAGAGGUUUUUAUGAAGAAAAAAUUACAUGUUACUUUUUUUUUCUCUUCAAUAUACGUAUAAGUUUUUCUAGAUUUUAGUUCUACUUUCCGGACAUAUUUAGAAGUAAACAAAAUUGAAUAUUUAAUGAUUUUAAUGUGAAGUAGACCUGUAAAUAGGUUUUCAGGCCAGACUAGACUUUUAAAUAGGUCAAGGAUAGACCAAAAAAAUAAACCUAUGAAGGACCAUAUGUCAGGCUCGAGCUUGCAAAAAAUUUCAUAGGUCAGACCUAUCACUGAUGAUGAAAGGUUGAGGAGAAACGUGGUGGUUUCUAGGAGGGAGGGAGGUGGUGGUCCAAUGAGGGUAUUGGGAGGAGGAUAUGUGUUUUGUUAUUCUGGGUUUGAAGAGUAAGAUGAUGAAGAAUGUGACUUUUUUUUUUUUUUUUUUUUUUUAAUUUAAAAAUUACAUAAGUGACAUCUAACUCACUUAAGUGAGGUGUCUUAUACGCAUUGUCCAUGUUAAAAUUGGCUACUUGUAAAAGAGGGCAAAGUUUUAAGUGGAUUAGAUUAUCUUGUUUUAAGUGCCUUAUAUGCAUUCUUUUGUUCUAAGGGGAUCAAAAUCGCAGUUGUUGCAAAGUUAUGGGGCCAAAAACUCGUUUAAGCCAAUUAUUUAUUUUUAGGUGUGAAAAAUAUCUAAUCAAAAUUUAAUUUGAAUAAAAGAGAUUCCAGGUGACCGGCGAUAUUUCAAGAAAUAAUUUUUUUAAUAUGAUGUCAGAAAUUUUUUAGAUGUGAAAAUUGAAUUGUCUAUGUUAUGACACUUUAUGUAUUCUAUGUAUUUUAAAGGGUGAUUGCUCUUUGUUUUUGUAAUACUUCAUUAACUUCAAAAGGUGUCUAUACUUUUUAUAUUACACAUUCAAAAGGGAGUUUAUUUCGUUGAUUCUGGCCUCUAUUGUGCGGGAAUUUUAAUGUAAUUGUUAAGGUAUGUUAUGUAUUGUACAAUGAUUUUAGAGUUGCUAUAUAUACACAUCUUGUUCUAGUUUGCUCUUUAUCAAUAAAAGUUUGAUUAUAAAAAAAACUUGAAAAGGUGCUAAAAUAAAAGAAAUGAGGUUGGUUAAAAGAAAAUAUACAAUGCAUUUUUAAUGUUGAAUUUUUACAUCUUCCUUUUGGGACAAAAAGUUUUAAAAAUUUACUCCCUUUUUUAAAUUGAAGAAAAACAUAUGUAAAAAAAAGUAUGUAAAAAUGACUAAAUUCUAAUUAAAACAUGGUUCUAUAAUUCAUAAAUUAUGACCAAAAUUACUCUUAUGGUUCCUUGAUUUAAUUUCAAGUAAUAAUUUUGUUCUAUAUCUUUUUUUCACGUUAUUUUUGUCCUUUUAAUUAAUUUGCUUAUGAAUUUUCAAGACUCAAAUCUAUGAAUUUAUUUUAAUGAUUCAUGGCAUAAUUUCUGAAGUGCAUCUAAGUUUGAGGUUAGCUUUGAUUCAUAGCUCUAUGUUUCCUUGGAAAUUGAGAACUAGGUGGAAUAAGUGCAUGAUUAGUCUAAGAUCUAUUAGUAGCACUCACACUCAUGUGAUGCGGGAAGGUAAUAGUGUUGCUGAUGCACUUGCGAAAAAUGGCCAAGGGCUUGCCCCUUUUUCUUCACAGUAUUGGGAUGCUCCCCCUCUUUUUGUUUUAUCUUUACUUCAGAGGGAUAGUCUAGGCCUCUCUUCUUCCACAUUAAACAUGUAAUACUGUGUACUUUUGGUUCAGGCCUCUCAUGCGUUUAUUAUUUUCGUUGUUGGAUCAAAAAAAAAUUAUAUAAAUUAUAAAAUGUAACAAAAAAAUAAUGUAAUUUAUAAUUUUGGUAUAUGACUAUAAUAUGUUUUUAUCAUUGCUCAACACCUUAUUCUCAUUGCCAAAAGAAAUCAUUUUCUUUUGAGAUUUAGCUCGUUUCUCCUAUGAAAGGCUCAUAAUAGGGAAAAAAAAUGGAAGGGUGUAAAAUCAUCCACAACAGAGCACCCUAAAUUGGAUGUUAAAUUUUCACCAAUCCAACACCUUAAAAGAAAUUAUUAAAUAGAUCUCAUAAAUAAUUUUAUAUCAUUACAUUUCAACAAAAUUUAUUUAUUUUAUUAAGAAUUAUUAAAUGAGAUCCAUGAAAAAUGAAGAAAGAGUGGGUGCUUCCAUAACCACCCAUGUAUUAUACUCCACAAUAGAGGUGUCUAAUUAAUAUGAUGCUAAAUAGGUGAAACACCAACCAUCGUGGAUGGUCUAAAAACAAUGAUCAAAGGUAACAAAUUAUAUUUUAAUAUGUGAUCUUUACUAAAUUUAAAUGAUCAAUUGAGUGAACAAAAGGAACAAACACGACACAUCGAUAUAAUCAAGAGAAAUUUAAUAAUGAUUUUUUUUAAAUGACUUCAUAUGCCAAUAUAUAAGUGCAACAAACUAUAAAGUGGUCUAUUUGUUACAUGCAAAGGAGAAGAAACAUGGCAAUACUUCUUAAGUUUGUUUAUAUUAUGAUCAUAUAUCUUUUUGUAGUUCUUGUUGUAGUUGAAGGCUACUGUACGCCAUUUUUCUCAUCCCCUCAAAUUUUAUUCUUUAUUUUAUAUACAACUUUUCAUCCCUUUUCAUUUACUUAAUUUUUUGGCUUACAUUACAGCGGUUUACGGAUGUAAUGACGACACAGAUUGUCCACCUAGUUGUACCACACGAGGUUGUCCGGAUAGUUGUGCCUAUCCUCAUGUUCUGAGAUGCAUUGGUAAAAAUUGUGUUUGUACUUAACAGUAAGUUGACACAACAAUUUGUUACUUUUAAACUUAUACUUUUAUUUCAACGAGUUGUUACUCAUAUUACUUCUUUGCAUGAUUCUAAUUUUCUCUCUAACAUUCAAAUUUCUUGCACAGGCUGAGAAUAAAAAUGGCAUUGCAGAAUUAUAAAUGAACUGCAAUAAAUAAAGAUGACAUGGUUUUGGAAGGGGAGGUGUGUCUAGCUUGUGGUAGUUUUUGAGUUGUAUCUCUAUGCUUUAGAAAAUUUGUAUUUGUUUUUAGUGCCCUAGGGGACACCUUGUUCUCUAGUUUGUGCUUGUGACCAAUAAAUUCUUUUCUUUUUGAAAAAUAUAUAUCAAAUAAAUACAAUAUAAUCAUUAUGUAUUUAUACUACACAAAUUUGAAUCAAGCUUUGCUCGUUGCCAUCCUUAAAUAUGAUUUAACCCACUUUAAUUUCAAUAAAAACACUACAAAUAAAAUGAAACUUGGACUCGACAACACAUAUAUUAUGAUUAUCUCAUGCUCCAUACUUAAUAUAACACUACUAAAAAACAAAAAUUAGUGAGGGAAAACAUGAAAUCCCUCUCUAAUACCGUCACUAAAUUUUGCGACCAAGGAAUUUGUGAGGAAUUUUAUGUUUUCCGUCACAAGUUUCCCUUCCUAAUUUUGCUUUUCCCAGUAGUGUAAAUACAUAUAAAAAUAAAAUAAACUUAAAGGUAUACCCACAUUUUAUUACAACUUAAACCAAAUAAAAUAAAGUAAAUCAACUCUUGACUUAUAUAUGUUGAUGCUUUCUCUUACUAUUCUUUCCGUAACCGCUUAUUCUUGAUGGAAAAAUGACUUCAUAUGAUAUUGUAUAGAAAAAUGUCCUCACCAGACAAACGACUCUAGGUCAAAUGAAUGCUUCAACCAUCCUUGACCAUAUCAGAUGCUUUAAGAUAUGAUUAAAUGAAAUCCUUAUGCAUGUUGACUAGUGUUGAGCUGGUUUUUCAUUAUUCUUUAUGUCUAGAUAAUGGGCAUGGUUGUACUUUUCCUCUCUUUUUUGUGUUUUUUUUUUUCUUUAUAAGGAUGAUUGUUGACCUUAUCUAGCUAAUGCUUAUAACCUGCACACAUGAACACACAGUUAGUAGAGAUAUUACUCCUUUGCUUUAAUUUGUUAUCAUCAAAAUAUUAUGAUCCUCUUAGAAUUUUAAUUAAUAGACCUUCUUUUAUGAGUUGAUGGUAAUUACCCUAGACCUAGUUCUCCUUUUGAUUUUUGAUUUGUCAAACAUCAAUACAAAGGGUUUGACAGUAAUAGUGAUGACAUCUCAAGUAUUGGAUCUUGAGCUUCUACAUAAGGGUCUUGUUCUAGAAAAAUCAUUAAUUUUAAUUUCCUAUUUCAAGUUUGGUAUAUAGAAACAUAUAACAAAGAUAAACAUAAUUUCUCAAGUGGUGUAUAUCUAGUUUCAGCAUCAUUUAAGAUUUGACUAAGGUAGUACACAACUCUUUCUGUUCCAUCAUUUUCAGGCAAUGCAAGCAAGUUGUCAACUUAAUAGUCUUCAAUAGCACUGGAAAACUUGAGUGGUUUAUUUGGUACUGGUGGCAUGUUCAUUGAUGGAAUAUCCAAAGCAUCUUUAAUCCCAUCAAAGGAUUUCUAGUGGUUGGCUCCCAAUAUCAUUUUUUCUCAAUAAAAAUUUGAUAUGAAACUCCUUAGGAAAUUUAUUUAUCCCAAGAGUGGUUGAGUUUCUUUCGUUGUGUUUGAGGGUCUUGCCUCCAAGAUAGCUUUACCUUUGUUCUUGUCCAAUUAAUUUUUUUUAUUGUGUACUAAGGAACCAAUGAAGUUACCAGAUGAUACUCCAAAUAUGCAUUUAGCUGGAUUCAUCUUUAAACCAUAUAGCCUCAUAGUUUUUGAAAGUCUUCUCUAGUUCCAACAAAUGGUUUUGGAAGGGAAUGUAUUUGACCAUUACAUCAUCAAUAUACACAUUCAUCUCUUUCCAUUGAGGUCAUGGAAGAUGGUUUUCAUAGCCCUUUAGAAAAAGGAGGUUAAUUACAAUUUUUGAAUUCGAGGGUCUUUAGAAUAUCAAGUUGCAUGCCUAAAUUUAUCCCUCAUCAUACUCCUUGAGAACAAUUAUGAGGCUUAGAUGAGUCAAAUAGAAUAUGGCUUCAAACUUUUUGACCUCUACUUAAAAGGUUUUCAUAUCUACUUCCACAAUCUCUACCAUGUUGCCUACCCACAACAUGAGUCUUUGGUGAAGUGUUGAGGGUACAUAUGCACUAGUAUGAAUCAAAGCUAUACCCAAGAUAACUAGUGUGCAUAUCUCUUCGAACGUGGUUUCAUGCUCAUAACUUCCUCGAUUGAUGUCAGUCAAAACAUGGAAUACUGGUGAAAUGCUCAAUCGUCAAGUUCCACUGAGUUUUGGCUGAUUGGAACAACCCUCCGAUAUAUGUGGACUACACUAUACAUGAGAAAGAUUUCGCUAACUUGCGUUUGAUAUUAUCUCCACCCGCCUAACCUCCAAUCAAUUGAGGGGAAUUCUCUUGACUUUAAUAUGAUCUAUUUGCCGAUCUUGACGACCAAACUAUUAAGGCUUAAUGCUCUUUUGACCCCCUAGCUCUGCAAAAGUUACGAUGUUGGCCCCUAUUAAAAAAACAAAAAUUCAGCUCGCUAAAUUUGCCCCCGAUUGUAAGUAGCCUAUUUUGUAAGUAUAAAAUUUUAAGAGGUGGUGGUUGUUUAGAGGGAGGGAGAUGGUGGUGUAGUCAGGGUAUAGGUGGAGGUGUGUGUUGUAAUUCUAUGUUUUGAGAGAGGGAUGAUGAAGAAGGAUGGUCGUGUGUAUUGCUACUCACGUGUCCCUUCAUUAUUUAUUUAUUUAUUUAUUUAUUUAUUUAUUUAUUUUCAUUUAUAAAUAUGUGACUUUUUAUUUUAUUUUUAAUUUAAAAAUUAAUGUAGAUAUCCGAUGUUGUCCGAGUUAAUUAUUAUAAUUAUAUACCAGAAAACAGUGAUUUGAUAAAAAAUACAAGGUGACAACUAGGGUAUCCAUGGAAGAAUGGUGGGUAAUUUACCCCAAUCAAUACACAUUAGCCACAUAAACACAUUUUUAAGUGGUAUACAUGAACUAUCUUGAUCCCACCAACAAAUUGCUCAUUUUCAUUGAUUUGUGGGUAAAUUACCCACCAUUCUUCAAAGGUAAUUUAGAAAAAACCAAAAUACAAUGCUAAAACGAUUUUAAGAUAACCGACCUUCGUUGUAUUGGUCAAAUGGUCACUAUUAGCAUGCAAUUCAGAACAUUUAGUUUGCAAUGGACCUAAUUCUAAACAUUCGCCAUGAUUGUCGAGAAGUAAAUUUUAAUAAUGAAUUCACAACAUUAACAAUUAAUAAAUGAAAUUUAAAAUAAAAUAAGAUAGAAAUCUAAAUUUAAUAUUUUACCUUUGCAACGUAAGACUCUUGAAGGUCAGCAACACUUUUCAAAAAAAUUGCAGUUUCACCGUCAAAUAUAACACAAAUGCCUAAAUCGGUAUGAUCAGCCACCUUAAUUUGAAUGUUAUACCUAUUUAAAUUACUCCAACAUCAACAAGAGUGUAAGUCUUGGUAACUCUAAAAUUAAAAUUAAAAUUAGUAUAAAAUGAAAGAUGUCUGAUUUUCCAAACCAAAAAAGAAAGAAAGGAAGUCGUAAGUACCUACUGAUAAAUGACACAUAGUCAUCCUCAUAUCAUAUCCAUGAUAGGACCAUUUUGAUUCAGAGUAUGUGUCUUUCACAAUACCAUGUGUGACAAAGGAACCAUCCUGAAAAUACUCUUAUAUAUUUCAUAUAUUUUUUUAAUAAGUUUUUUAAAAUUAUAUGUGCGUAAUGUACAUAACAACAUACCUCUUGACAAUUGUUUAACUCUGCGAUUGUUUUGAAAGUAUACAUUUUCAAGAAGUCAUCUUCUAGUGAGUAUCAAGACAUGACAUAAAGAAGUCAUUCUCACAUAAAGAAGUCAUUUUCACUAGAUAUAUCCUCUUUUUAUUUUGGAUUCCUAUCACAAGGAAUAUAACAUAACCCAAGUGGUGUAAAGUAUAAAAAUAAAUGAGUGUAAAUGGUUGAAAUCAAAGAUAAUAUGUUUUGAUUUUUCACAACAGUGGUGUUUUUCUUAGAAUGUCAACGGCGGUGUCUUUAUACGAUGGCUUUUUCGACUAAUCUUAGCACAUCUUGACUCUAGAUAAGUAUUUCUUUUAAAAAUAAAAAAAAUACUACAAAGUAUUUUGUGUGAUAUCUACUUGUCAUUAUUUUAGAAUAUUGAAUUCGUUAUUCGGAUAAUUUAUCAUGUCUAAACUCUAAACCAAUACAAAAUAGCCAUGACUUCAAUCAAUUUAUAUAUAUAGAUAUAUAUAGUGCAAACAAUAUUGUCCUCUUCACUUAUCCUCUAGUACCAUUGUCGCCUAAAUUAUAUUCAAGCCAUCGUCCUCCGUCGACAACCACUCGUUUAUCUUGUGCAAAUAUUCUCUCUCUCUCUGAUCCUAAUAUAUUUGUGUUGUCCAAAACCCGCGACUUCAUUUGUACUACAAUUGACAAAGGUGGUGGAGAGGUUAUGGUUUGAAGGUGGUGAUGGCUACAUACGGUGGCAAAGUCGGAAGAGGAAGAGGAGGGCGUAUGUAGAAAGAAAGAAGGCGGCGAUCAAAGAGAGAGAAAUUAGGACGAAGGGUGGAUGGAUUAGAGAACACACAUGUGAAGAAAGAGAAAAAAGGAUAUAAAAAGAGAAGAAAAAAAAAAAAAAAAAAAAGAAGCCAAUUAUGCCCAUGUAACUAUAUGGAAGUUAUGAAUUUGACCCUAGUGUUGUAUUUGUGUUAAAAAUGUGUCUCAUUGUCAUUUCUCUUUUUAUUUUGGGUUCCUAUCAUAAGGAUUAUAACAUAGCCUAAGUUGUGGAAAGUAUUAAAAUAAACGAGUGUAAAUGGUUUUUUUUUUUGAAACAAAAUGAGUGUAAAUGGUUGAAAUCAAAGAUAAUAGGUUAUGAUUUAUCACAAUUGUGAUGUUUUUUUUAAGAAUGUCAACAAUGGUGUCUUCAUAUGAUGACUUCUUUGACUAAUCUUAGUACAUCUUGACUCUAAAUAAGUACUCUUUAUUUAAAAAGAAAAAAUGCUACAAAGUAUUUUGUGUGAUAUUUACAUGUCGCUAUUUUAGAAUAUUGAAUUUGGUAUUCGAAUAAUUAAUAAUGUUUGAACAAUACAAAAUAGCCAUGACAUCAAUACAAUUAUCAACAUUGAGAAAAACAUGGUAAUACACCACCACCCCCAAAAAAAGAGUUUAUCUUUGCUCCAUUUAAGUCUCCUUCAUUUACUCCUUUUUAAUGUACAGAUAUGUGACAUGUGGCGGUAACAAAUCUAAUGGUUGAUAUUAAAAAUCAAAUUAAAAGACACGUUGUAUGUUGAAGCUUUUCUCCGAUGUAACAACAUUCCACCUUUUCAUCUUCUUCCUCUCAAUGUCUCCCCCAGCCUCACAGUGUUGUCACGACACCGUCCUCUAAAAUCACCAUUUGCAGAUCCUGUUCCAUAAACUUUUUAAUUUUUAAUUUAUGAUUUUUGUGUUUGUCUCUUAAAUCAAUCAAAAAGUAACAAACAUAGAAAGAAUUUUCGAAACACUGGUGUUGUUUUUCAUCCCUUAAGAAUCAUUUUUUAAUCUAAGGAUUAAAAGGAUUGUUAAUUUAAAAUCCAUUUAAUCCAUUUGUUGUGAUUCUAAUUUUAUCUAAUUAAUUCGUUCUUCAAUUUUAGAAAGACUCUCAGUUUUAAUUAAUUAAUCUCAUCAAAAUUGUUCAAGUUGUUAUGGAUUUGCAAUGAAAUUGGGAAAUUGAGAGGAGAAUGAAGGAGGUGGAGGAGAAAGAGAUUAGGUGACCGAGAGUGGAGAGAGCAUGCAAUGAUGUCUUUUAAAUCUCUGUCUUUAGAUUUAUUUUUGCCAUAUGUCACACAUCUGUAAAUUUAAAAGGAGUAAAUGGAGCAAAUAUAAAUGGAGUAAAGAUGAACUCCCAAAUGGCAAUACAAUACUCAAUAUUUGAUCAAUAUAAAACCAUAAUCAUCAAUCAUCAUCUUCGUUAAUCUCGUUAAGAAUCACAAUUAAUGCCACUAUGAAAGCGUAAUCAACACUGGGAUAAACAGUGACUGCGAAAUGGUCUUUAUCAAUUAAAAUACUCUGAAUAGUGUGCUUUUUGUGCAUCUGCAGUAACAAAAAUAUCACAAAAACUGAUUUAUGAUUAGUAUAUCUCCUUAAGUGAUAAUCCAAUCAAAGUAAAGCCUUAUAUACUUGUAUAUAUACUAGAUGCUUUUUAAUUACCUGUGCAACAAUGUUGUUAGUAUCACCAGCAUAAACAAUACAAGAUCGUUCCAACCAACUACCUUUGACUUUAAAAUCACAAACAUCUUCUUUGGUAUUAUCAGCUAGAAACACAUCUAGUUUUGCCUUCAACUGCAAUAGCGAUGAUUUUCUCAAUGUAAAUAUAAGAUCUUUAGAAUUUGUGCUUUCUCCUCUGUAAGCUUCCCACCGAUCAUGCAUAGUCACUAUCUGCAUCAAUAGUACAACUUAAUGAAUCAUUAAACAACACUUUCAAUAAUAAAAUUUGUAUUAAAUGCUAAUCAAUAUCAAUUAUUUUUUUUCUUCAUAAAAAAAAUAUCAAUAAUAAAAUUUAUAUGAAUAUAAUAUGUAAUAAUAUAUGAAGCGGUUGGGGUUCGAACCCCAAACACCAUAUUUCUUCACAUUUAAAUGUGCGAGCUUCAGCUACCAAGCUACUUACAAAAAAAAAUCAAGUAAUUUAAAUUUGUGGUAUAUGACUAUAAUUUAUUUUUAUCGGUAAUCUCUCCCUCUCCAACAAGCCGGCCCUAGUUUUCUCUUUCUAGGUUUUUUCUUACAGUUUCUUCAUUGAGGGGUGGUUUUUGGUCAAUUCUUGACCUGAAAUCACCCCUCUUCAUCUUUUUAUCUCUAUUUCAAUCUAAAUAAGUGAUUUUCAUAUAUAUCUAGGUUUUUUUCUUUGUGAUUUCAUCAUCUAAGUGUGGUGGUUUGUUGUUCAUCGUCUUGUGCGGCGUUGUUUGAUUUCCAGUCUUCGUGCAAUGUUCAUUUGAUUCAUAUUGAAAGAUCGAUUAUUCAAUCAAAGAGCGUCAACGUUGCAGAUUCGGAGGUCAUGAAUAUUCCGGUCACUUUAAUUUUAUCAUAUAUUUUUGUAGGCAUUAUGUCGUUAUAUGCUAUUAACUUUGAAUGCUGUGAGCUUAUUCGCAGAUUCAUCCUUUACGUUUUUAACGAUGUUGAAUGAUGUAAUCUCACGAUUUGAAUGAAUGAAUAUCAUUUUAUUUUUGUCAAAUUUUUUUUUAUUUUUAUCAUUGCUCAACCCCAUUAUUCUCUUUGCCAAAAAAAAAUAAUUAUUUUCUUUAGAGAUUUAGCUCGUUUCUAUUAUGAGAAGCUACUAAAAGGGAAAUAAAAUGUAUAUAUAAAAAAAGAACAAUGGUGGCAAACAAUAUUUUAAUGUGUGAUCUUUAUUAAAUAUAAGUGAGUAAAAUGGACAAACACGACACAUCGAUAUAAUCAAGAGACAUUAAAUUAUGAUUAUUUAAAAAAAAGGGUUUCAUAAGGCAAUAUAUAAGUGCUACAAACUAUAAAGUGGUCAAACAAUUAUCUAUUUGUUACAUGCAAAAGAGAAGAAAUAUGGCUGCAAUUCUUAAGUUUGUUUAUAUUAUGAUCAUAUAUCUUUUUGUACUUCUUGUUGCAGUUAAAGGUUAUUGUAUGCUUUUUUUCUCAUCCCCUCAAAUUUUAUAUACAAUUUUUCAUCCCUUUUUUUUGACUUUAUUUUUUUUGCUUACAUCAUAGCAUUUGAAGAAUGUAAAGAAGACGCAGAUUGCCAUCCUGUUUGUAGCGUACCAGGUUGUUCAAAUAUUUGUACCCUGCCUGAUGUCCCAACAUGCAUUGAUAAUAAUUGUUUUUGUAUUUA
This 13787-nucleotide long non-coding RNA is filed under the name Medicago truncatula (barrel medic). RNAcentral describes it as "long non-coding RNA (MTRU_LNC005263)". Lineage: Eukaryota; Viridiplantae; Streptophyta; Magnoliopsida; Fabales; Fabaceae. The record is from RNAcentral.